GAGACCUGUGGCGAGCGGCCGCCUCCAGUCUGCGAGCUUCCCUUCCUCCGAAGGGACGCGAGUGAAAUCACACCCAGCGCGGGGACAGCGGGGCCGGGGGACGGGGGAAUCCCAGGUAUUUCACCGACAACUGCGGAAUGUUUUGCGUCUCAAGUUUCAGAUUUCGCGGAAAGGGACCAAAUGUCAAGGCAUAUCAAAUAUUCCCUUCCCUUUUCAUUAAAAGAGAGUGCAUUUAAAAGGAGGACAGCCCUUUAAUGACUGCGAGAAUGAAAACUUCUGAAGACAAAACCAAAACUGGCUCUGGUAAACUGUGCACUCAGCUCUAAGAAGCUCUGUGGAAAGUGAGGUUGGCUGGGGCAUAGCUGACCCUGCCUGGGCACCCGUAUAGAGCAUCACAACCAGUUUCCCUUUCCAUCAAACUCCCAUUCUCUCAAACCUGCUGAUCUCCGGGAAGUACACACAGACAAACCAACUAAUCAAGCCUGAAGUGUGAUAACUGCUUUCUCCUGUCUGGGGUUUUGCAUUUUAAGCCUGUGAACCCAUAUUCAUCUACAAUUAGUGAAAUCCCAUGGAAUUUAAAAGGGGUUAUGGUAACAGGGUGGGGACAUCCAGGGGCGACAGACUUUUCAUUCCUUUGACUUUCAACUCAUAGGUGAAGCUUCUCCCCCUUUGGUGAGGGCCGGUCUCUAGAGACACUGCAUUUAUUUGCCAAGAAAAGUCAUUUCUGGCUGCCAUCUAGAGCUUGACACCAAAAACGCAGUUUUGUUUAUGGAGCACGAAAGGAGCUUGCACAGUCCUGCUGAUUGGCAUAAAUCCACAAGGAAAUAGAGUUUUUCAUUCACAUGUACACACACACACAAACACAAAAAGCAGCACUUCUUCCUCAUUCACAGGCAAACACAGUUUCAGUUGCCUUGCAUACUUUUUUCAUCUUUCUGGUCUUAGAACAUAGAGAAAAUAUAGGUGUGACUGGUGAUUAAAUAGUGAAUUGUUAAUUGACAAGUGAAGAUGUUACAAACUUCAAAUUCCUUAGCCUUUGAUUAACUUACUUUCUGGAGAUCCCAGAGAGUCUUAGGAAGAAGGAGUAUUUUGUGUAAAUGUUAUUAUUUUCCCUAAAUAUGUGAAGUUGCCGUGAUUCUGCCUAGGGCAGUGUUCAUAAAUUGUUGCAAUGUAUGAUUUUUGUUAAUUGCUUUGCAUAAACUUACAUAUAAUUUAUUGGC
RNAcentral lists this long non-coding RNA (1220 nucleotides) under Sus scrofa (pig). RNAcentral's name for it is "lncRNA (ENSSSCG00050041829.1)". Lineage: Eukaryota; Metazoa; Chordata; Mammalia; Artiodactyla; Suidae. The record is from RNAcentral.